This 475-nucleotide ribosomal RNA is filed under the name uncultured bacterium. RNAcentral describes it as "bacterial SSU rRNA". It matches the Rfam family "Bacterial small subunit ribosomal RNA", at positions 365 to 832 of the family's 1533-position model. The record is from RNAcentral.
UUCGCAAUGCCCGAAAGGGUGACAAUGCGACGCCGCGUGAGCGAUGAAGGCCUUCGGGUUGUAAAGCUCUGUCAGCUCGGAUGAAUGCAGAAAGACUAAUACUUUUUCUGUUUGACGGUACGAGCAGAGGAAGCCACGGCUAACUCCGUGCCAGCAGCCGCGGUAAUACGGAGGUGGCAAGCGUUGUUCGGAUUUACUGGGUGUAAAGGUCAUGUAGGCGUCUUAUUAAGUCGGGUGUGAAAUCCCUUGGCUCAACCAAGGAACUGCAUUCGAUACUGGUAAGAUUGAGUACGAGAGAGGAAAGCGGAAUUCCGGAAGUAAGGGUGAAAUCUGUAGAUAUCCGGAAGAACACCAUUAGCGAAGGCGGCUUUCUGGUCCGAUACUGACGCUGAAAUGAGAAAGCUAAGGGAGCAAACAGGAUUAGAUACCCUGGUAGUCUUAGCUGUAAACGAUGGGCACUAAGUAGAGGGGUUUU